RNAcentral lists this ribosomal RNA (381 nucleotides) under uncultured bacterium. RNAcentral's name for it is "bacterial SSU rRNA". It matches the Rfam family "Bacterial small subunit ribosomal RNA", at positions 28 to 415 of the family's 1533-position model. The record is from RNAcentral.
GAUGAACGCUAGCGGCAGGCCUAAUACAUGCAAGUCGAACGCUCAGUAGCAAUACUGGGAGUGGCGCACGGGUGCGUAACGCGUACACAAUCUACCUCUAAGCGGGGACACCUCCUGGAACGGGGAUUAAUACCGCAUAAUAUGCCGAAGUCGCAUGACUUUGGUAUUAAAGCAGCAAUGCACUUAGAGAUGAGUGUGCGUCCCAUUAGGUAGUUGGUGAGGUAACGGCUCACCAAGCCUAUGAUGGGUAGCCGGUCUGAGAGGAUGGGUCGGCCACACGGGCACUGAGACACGGGCCCGACUCCUACGGGAGGCAGCAGUAAGGAAUAUUGGUCAAUGGUGGAAACACUGAACCAGCCAUGCCGCGUGGAGGAAUAAGGU